This is a long non-coding RNA of Mustela erminea (ermine), 251 nucleotides long. RefSeq lists it as uncharacterized. The transcript has 3 exons. The record is from RefSeq and is a predicted model, not a curated record. Lineage: Eukaryota; Metazoa; Chordata; Mammalia; Carnivora; Mustelidae.
AUUAAGUUUUGAGAUAUCUUUGACUACAGGGGCGGGGUGUAUUAUUCUGAUUUCUGCAGUACCUUUAGUGGCUCUGACUCAAAGACUUAAGUAUCGAGGCUCUUCAGCAGGAGGAGGGAUAUCAAGAAAUAUAACACAUAAUGAAAGGCUUCAAAUGGUCUUAUGGGACUAAUUAUUUAACUAGAGGUGAUUAAUGGCAACACUGGAGGAAAGAGAAUCCCUACCUAAGGAACCCAAAUAAAGAUUCUCGC